RNAcentral lists this ribosomal RNA (440 nucleotides) under uncultured bacterium. Its description in RNAcentral is "partial 16S ribosomal RNA". It matches the Rfam family "Bacterial small subunit ribosomal RNA", at positions 338 to 795 of the family's 1533-position model. The record is from RNAcentral.
CCUACGGGUGGCUGCAGUGGGGAAUAUUGCACAAUGGGGGAAACCCUGAUGCAGCGACGCCGCGUGAAGGAAGAAGUAUUUCGGUAUGUAAACUUCUAUCAGCAGGGAAGAAAAUGACUGUACCUGACUAAGAAGCUCCGGCUAACUACGUGCCAGCAGCCGCCGUAAUACGUAGGGGGCAAGCGUGAUCCGGAUUUACUGGGUGUAAAGGGAGCGUAGGUGGUUCAGCAAGUCAGAAGUGAAAGCCCAGGGCUCAACUCCGGGACUGCUUUUGAAACUGUUGAACGAGAUUGCUGGAGAGGUAAGUGGAAUUCCUAGUGUAGCGGUGAAAUGCGUAGAUAUUAGGAGGAACACCAGUGGCGAAGGCGGCUUACUGGACUGUAAAUGACGCUGAGGCUCGAAAGCGUGGGGAGCAAACAGGAUUAGAUACCCGGGUAGUC